This 301-nucleotide ribosomal RNA is filed under the name uncultured bacterium. RNAcentral describes it as "partial 16S ribosomal RNA". It matches the Rfam family "Bacterial small subunit ribosomal RNA", at positions 509 to 807 of the family's 1533-position model. The record is from RNAcentral.
CAGCCGCCGCGGUAAUACGAAGGGGGCUAGCGUUGCUCGGAAUCACUGGGCGUAAAGGGCGCGUAGGCGGCCGAUCAAGUCAGAGGUGAAAGCCCAAGGCUCAACCUUGGAAUUGCCUUUGAUACUGUUCGGCUCAAGACCGGAAGAGGUUAGUGGAACUGCGAGUGUAGAGGUGAAAUUCGUAGAUAUUCGCAAGAACACCAGUGGCGAAGGCGGCUUACUGGCUCAUUCUAGACGCUGAGGUGCGAAAGCGUGGGGAGCAAACAGGAUUAGAUACCCCCGUAGUCCCUGUCUCUUAUAC